GGUGAGAAAGGACAGGCCUAGACAAUGAAGCAAGGGGCGAGUGGGUGGAUGGGUAAAACCACCUGCUCCUCAAAACAGCCAGGCUCUGAGAUGAAGCAGGAAUCUGCACUUAAACCGAGGCUGGAUCCAUCCUAGGGAUUCAAGCCUGUGUUGUCAAGCGAAAACAGAAAAGAGAAGGGAAUUCCACCUUUGCCCACUGAGAACACAUCUAUGCUGAGAACACAUCUACCCAACUCCUCUGUCACAACCCCUGUGAGAAGGUUCUGCCAUCUCCCAGCCCUGAAGAUUGUGAGCUCCCUGAUGGCCCUGGGCCUCCCUCCCGACAGCUGAGGCCCUUCCUGGAUCUCUACACGUCACCAAGCUAAGCCAGUGUUCCAAAAUAGUCUCCUGAACAAUGAUGACAACUGCACAGUUAUUUUGGAAGAACUUCCUGGCAGUGAUGGCAGUGGAACAUUGGAAACAGAGAUGAACAGGAGGUGGGAAGAGGAGGCUAAGUACAUGUAGGCCUAAAAGUCUCUGCCUUGGGAGAUUUUUAACAGUCCUGGAUGGAGGUAAGGAGGCAGGCGUGAUUCUAAGAUCUCAAGGAAAGGAGAUUCUAUGUCACUCUUCUCUUCCCUUGGCCCUCAGA
RNAcentral lists this long non-coding RNA (628 nucleotides) under Homo sapiens (human). RNAcentral describes it as "non-protein coding lnc-PRSS3-1:3". Lineage: Eukaryota; Metazoa; Chordata; Mammalia; Primates; Hominidae. The record is from RNAcentral.